Molecule: long non-coding RNA, 278 nt
Filed under: Capsicum annuum
Lineage: Eukaryota; Viridiplantae; Streptophyta; Magnoliopsida; Solanales; Solanaceae
Description: long non-coding RNA (CANN_LNC002543)
Source: RNAcentral
CACCUAAUUAUGAUAAAAUUAGAUUUAGAUAUCCACCAAGAUAUUAUAAAUAUAAUUUAAAAUGAAUAAAAUACAACAAUACAAAGAAUUAAAACAAAUUAUUUCUGAAAAACGUAAAGAAUUAAAAAUAAGAAUAAAAAGACUACAUUAUAAUAUAUUUGCCGGAGUUAGUAAAAACUCAAUAAAUACACAAAAAGAUGAAAUAUCAAAAUUAGAAUCACAAAUAGAUAGUUUAGAAUAUAUAUAUCAACAUGAACUAUUCACAAUAAAAUGAACAA